CUUCACUUCACGUCUUCACCCUCAAAAAGAACAGAGCUCUUCCUCUUUCCCCCAAAAAAACCCCUAGCCUCCUCCACCGCCGCCGCCGUCCGUCGCGCCCAAAAGCUUCGUCUGUUCGUCGUGCUCCACCCCCUCUCCUCAUUCCCCUGUUCCUCGUCCGUUCUUCUCGCUGCUCAGUCGCGCUUUGCCCGCCGUCUCUCGUCGUGCUCGUCGCCUGGUCGCCGUCGUCCGUCGUGCUCGUCCCUCGAAGAGGCUCAAGAGGCAAAAAGCACUGCAGCAACUAAAAGGAAAACGAUAAUCCCUAGCAAGUAGGAAGAAGAAACGGGUUGUGAUGAAUCGGAAAUUAGGAGGAGGAAGGCAGCCCACAGGGACUCCAUCGCUGGCUUGGUCCUGUCUUGUCGUCGUCUGCUCUCUUCUUGGUGGUGCCUCUAUUGUCCAUAAUAUCUACAAACCCAAUCUUACAUUACCUCCGGUUGAUGAAAUUGGUGGGACCAAGCAGAAACUAGAUGAGAAAGAAUGAUCAUCUCUCUCUGUCGAUUCUGCUAUAUUGGUAUGAAGAUGACCGAAAUUUUUGGGCCCAAAGUUGCUUUUUGUGCCAGUAAGCCUGAGAUACAAUUGUUCUCUUUAUAUUGUUUCUUUUUUUUUUUAAUUGUAUUAGUUUGAUGGAGAAGCUUCAUUUAUCUUAAUCUUGUUUCUAAGGAGCGUGGAUUAAUGUGUUAAGGAUGAGCACUGCUCUGCCCUGACCAUAAAGCAAGGAAGUUUACAGGAGCAUUACAAUGUAUUUUAGAGCCUGAUCUAUAUUUAAAAAGAAAUAAGCAUUCUUCUUGUUUUGAUUC
Arachis stenosperma is the source of this 836-nucleotide long non-coding RNA. RefSeq lists it as uncharacterized. The transcript has 3 exons. NCBI's taxonomy places the organism in Eukaryota, Viridiplantae, Streptophyta, Magnoliopsida, Fabales, Fabaceae. The record is from RefSeq and is a predicted model, not a curated record.